This is a long non-coding RNA of Ipomoea triloba (trilobed morning glory), 558 nucleotides long. RefSeq lists it as uncharacterized. The transcript is spliced from 2 exons. NCBI's taxonomy places the organism in Eukaryota, Viridiplantae, Streptophyta, Magnoliopsida, Solanales, Convolvulaceae. The record is from RefSeq and is a predicted model, not a curated record.
CCUAUGCUGCAGUGCUUGAGCUCCAGCAAAUAUGUAUAUUUCUUCUUGUGAAAUAUGUGCUGGGUCAUGGCUGCAGGGAAGCAAGCGAUAGCCAUAUGCCAGUCAGGAGGUGAGUUUAAAACUGAUAUGGAUGGUCUACUAUCAUAUAAAGGUGGAGAUGCUCAUGCUUUGGAAAUUGACAACCAAAUGAAUUAUGAAGAUUUCAAGAUGGAGAAAGCUGAGAUGUUUAACUGCAGUAUUGCUACCUAGUCUAUUAAACAUUUCCUCCCCAGAAACAAGAAGACUGUCAUUAAGGGAUGCUUCUCAAAGUGCUGACUGUAACCCCUCCUGCAAUACUUGCCCAUCAGGACAUUGCACAAAUCAACAUGCUUUGUUUCCUACUUCUCUUGGAGCAAAGGUUCUUGUCAUUCUUUACACAAAUAUAUCAACUUUCAAUCUACAUUCCCCUUUUUUCUGCUGAUAAUCCUGAUAUAAGCUACUUGUAAAUACACAUUUGCCCUAAGUACAGUCUGGACCAAGCAUUACAUUAUGUUGUAAAUAUCAGUUUUUUGCAUUCCA